UACGUAGGCAGCGAGCGUUGUUCGGAAUUAUUGGGCGUAAAGCGUGUGUAGGCGGUUCUCUAAGUCUGUCGUGAAAUCUCCCGGCUUAACUGGGGGGGUGCGGCGGAAACUGGAAUGCUAGAGGGUGGGAGAGGAAAGCGGAAUUCCUGGUGUAGCGGUGAAAUGCGUAGAUAUCAGGAGGAACACCUGCGGUGUAGACAGCUUUCUGGACCACUGCUGACGCUGAGACACGAAAGCGUGGGUAGCAAACAGG
Molecule: ribosomal RNA, 253 nt
Filed under: uncultured bacterium
Lineage: Bacteria
Description: partial 16S ribosomal RNA
Rfam family: Bacterial small subunit ribosomal RNA
Source: RNAcentral